Molecule: long non-coding RNA, 361 nt
Organism: Oreochromis aureus
Lineage: Eukaryota; Metazoa; Chordata; Actinopteri; Cichliformes; Cichlidae
Exons: 3
Source: RefSeq, a predicted model, not a curated record
CAUAAUAGCGUUGGGUUGCCGUCUGAAAGGUGGAAGACCUGAGUUUAUGGUUUGUUCAGGUUCGUGCAGGUAACCAAGGUCGUAACCAAACUACGCUAUUUAAACAUAAUAACAGAAAAGAGCGAGCUUCCUGUCAUAGUUUGAGAAAAACAGCCGAGAAGCUAGCCAGUCUCUACAGGCCUCUGGUUGCUACUCCUUUGUGCAACUGUAUCUGCUGAUCGUCCCUGAACCCGUUUGUGACUGUCUGGAUGAGUGAGCGAGAGGAGCGGCUGAAGAGAGGAGUUGGACUUUUUUGGAGAAAGAGAGGAACGUUUUUGACCCUUCCCCCGUUUCCCUACCACCCCAGAGCCCCGGACCCAUU